Molecule: RNA transcript, 1399 nt
Organism: Selaginella moellendorffii
Lineage: Eukaryota; Viridiplantae; Streptophyta; Lycopodiopsida; Selaginellales; Selaginellaceae
Gene name: GDSL esterase/lipase At1g71691
Exons: 6
Source: RefSeq, a predicted model, not a curated record
CUGGGACGUACUUUGUGGAGCUACAACGCGCUAGAGCUAGUGCGCCUGAGCAUUUAAACCCGCAGCUAGGCCUCACUGAGGAGAACAAAAAUGUGUCCAAGGUUGGCUACGUUUCUUGCACUGCUUCUUCCCGCUUUUGUUCGUUCUGGUUUUACUGCCGAAGUUCCUGCCUUGUUUGCAUUCGGUGACUCCUUGGCAGAUGUCGGCAACAACAACUACCUUGUCACUCUUGCGAAAGCGAACUUUCCACCUUAUGGAAGAGAAUUUGACACCGGAAAACCAACUGGGAGAUUCACCAACGGAAGGAAUCAAAUCGACUUUCUUGCGGCAAGGUUGGGAUUGCCAUUGCUGCCAGCGUUCAUGGAUCCGUCCACUAAAGGACUUGCGAUGCUCAGCGGGGUCAACUUCGCUUCUGCUGGGUCUGGGAUCCUCGAUAUAACGAAUAUCAAUGUUGGCCAGCUGAUUCAGAUCACCGAGCAAGUGCAAAACUUUGCGAAAGUAAAGGAAGAACUGGUUUCCAUGGUUGGCUCAGCCAAUGCAACCGAGAUGCUAUCCAGGUCUCUCUUUUGCAUUUUCACAGGGAACAACGACUAUACAAUGACAUACCCGUUAACUGGAGCUGUUUCCAAUCUGAGAUUUCAGAACACACUCCUUUCCAAGCUGCUGGAGCAAACCAGAGAACUUUACAACUUGGGAGCACGAAAGUUUGUGAUCGCUGGGGUUGGAGCGAUGGGUUGUGUUCCUGCGCAGCUCGCCAGGUAUGGCAGGAGCUCGUGCGUCCACUUCCUGAACAAUCCCGUGAUGAAGUACAACCGUGCUCUUCAUCGUGCGCUCACCGCUCUCAACCACGAGCUGCCAGAGGCUCACAUCGUCUACUCGGACCUGUACUACCAGAUGAUGUCCAUCGUCCAAGAUCCCGCUCCAUUCGGAAUAAAAAACGUGAACGAUGCUUGCUGCGGUGUGUUUAAGCAGAUACAAAGCUGUGUUCCUGGGGUCCCCGUUUGUAAUGACGCCUCCGAAUACUACUUCUGGGACGCCUAUCAUCCGUCGAGCCGAACUUGUGAAUUCCUGGUGGAGAUGCUCUACGACAAGGGGCCACCUUACAACUUCCCAUUCAGCGUCGAAACACUGGUUCGCAUCUAGCUGCAUUCUUUCAUACGUUUGGUCGAUCAAGAACCGAAAAUCGUAAGACUUUUCCCUUUCAUUUUGUCUCUCUUUUUGUGUGGCCCACCAGCCACUAAGGCAAUUGCUGUGAUGGCUUCCUUUUUGGCUAUGUCAAUUGGGAGUUUCAUUGGACCAGCAGCUUUAGAAGUUGGAGGUUCCUUUUUGACUCGAUUAUUUCUGAACCCGAUCUACAAAGUUCGCAAAACUCUAUUGAAAAAAGAACGAUCCGAUCGAA